CAUUAUAAACAGUAAGCACCAUUCACGUUCACAAGGGGGUCGAGAGGGGAAAGCUUAAGAUGGACUCUCAUUGGUUUUCCUAGAUAGGGCCUCUCGGCUGAGAACAGUGAGUUCCGAAAGGGAGAUAGAAUUGAAGAAAAUCAGAGGGAGAAAGGGAGAUCGAGUGACAGAAAUUUGAGAGAGAGCUCGAGUGAGGGAAGAAAAUCAGAGGGAGGUGUGAAAGAAGGAGAGGGGGGAGGUCUGAGAGAGAAAGAGGAGAGUGGUGGCUCGAGGCAAAACCCACGAUCCUCGUCCCAUUUCUGGUGUUAUCAUCCAUCUUCGAGGAACUUCAACCUGCACUACUGACGACCAUCACAGCUUUGCCGAUGAAACCUCCACCCAUCACUUCUCUGCCAUCGACUUGCUCCCACUGCUACUAUCGAAUUGCCACGUUGUUCUUUCCAGUUCGUCAAAUCCGAGUUUUGCCAGUUUUGCAGUAUCAGCAUUGUUGAUUCUUGUGAAGGCUACAAGAGGUAAGCAUCUCAAGGGUUUGAUAGAUAUUAUGUUACUAAACAAAGAAUCUUCUACCAUGCUUGUCAUCGGAGUUCAAAGCCCCUCCACCACAUGGGCUAGCAAAUCUUCACUUAAAGAAAUGGGAGCUGAUCUUUAAGAUUAACAAAAGAAGGAGGGGGCGACAGCCUUUAGAAACACACACAAUCAAAUUUUUUUCAGUGCUGAAAUCACAAGAAGAGAGAAUUCUGCACCAUAUGAAUACUCUCUUGCCGCCUCCUUGUUCUUGUC
This is a long non-coding RNA of Nelumbo nucifera (sacred lotus), 780 nucleotides long. RefSeq lists it as uncharacterized. Lineage: Eukaryota; Viridiplantae; Streptophyta; Magnoliopsida; Proteales; Nelumbonaceae. The record is from RefSeq and is a predicted model, not a curated record.